AAUAAGUUAAAAUCCAAAUUACAAAAUACAAACCAUUGCCUUCAAAGGGCUUAACAAAAAAACAACAAAUAACAUUAUCAUAAAACACUCCAAGCCACAAAAAAUAAAUCUUCAUGUGCACAUCAUCUCAAUAAAAAAGCACUUCAAGAGCAUUGCACUUUGAUUCCUGAAAUUCAUAAUCUAGAAUUAUAACAUAAUAAAUUAAAUCAGAAGAUAUAAAAAUUAAAAAAUAUAUUUAUACCAUACGUUUUCAAUACAUGCAUCACAAAUUCACAAUUUGUGAACUAAUUAUCAUCCGUUGCUAAAUGCAACUUUCCAC
This 319-nucleotide long non-coding RNA is filed under the name Populus tremula. Its description in RNAcentral is "long non-coding RNA (PTRE_LNC001759)". Lineage: Eukaryota; Viridiplantae; Streptophyta; Magnoliopsida; Malpighiales; Salicaceae. The record is from RNAcentral.